RNAcentral lists this long non-coding RNA (252 nucleotides) under Prunus persica (peach). RNAcentral describes it as "long non-coding RNA (PPER_LNC005324)". The record is from RNAcentral. Lineage: Eukaryota; Viridiplantae; Streptophyta; Magnoliopsida; Rosales; Rosaceae.
UGAGCUUCAUCUGCUAGGAGUUUUGAUCAACACUGCCCACAUCCAGACUUAUGGAGGGGACAGUGAUGUGAGGUGGUAUGAUCGCUUCUGUUCCAUAGGCGAGGGAGAAUGGGGUUUCACCAGUCGAUCUUCGUUUGGUGGUGCGAUAAGCCCAUAGUACUCCGGGGAGUUCAUCCACCCAUUUUCCUUCGGCGCCUUCUAGCCUUUUCUUCAAGCAGUCCAAUAUGACUUUGUUGGAUGCCUCGGCUUGUC